GGUUGGAAUUAAAUCUCGAUCUACCAUCAGCACAAGCCACUUCCUGAUCAAGCACAGCGCAGGCCUCUAUAGAACAAGAUGAGCUUUCACAGAGACUGGCAAAUCUACGACAGUUGUAGAACAAGAUUGUUGACAAGAGCCGUGAGAGAGAGCCGUAAACUGUGAUUACAAAGGCUUCAAAUUAGACAUACAUGUACACCAUAUUAAAGCAUUCGUUCUAAAUACUGGCUCAUCAUAGCUUAUUUCAAUUUUUCUUCAUAAGAAACCCUUAAAGGAGCACUGUUUGUAAAACCAAAAUAAAUUCCUCCAAAUAAGGAAGAACUUGGUUUGUGCGAUUGAGAAUAGUUAUAAGUGUUUUAAUUUGCUCGGUUAAUAACUUCUUCCUAGUACAUGUUUAGUGCGAUAAUAAGACAUUGUAUGUGCAUACAGUAAAACUUGGUUAUAACGAAGUCACUGGGACCUAUGAAAUAUUUCUUCGCUAUAUUCGUAAUUCGUUAUAUAUCCGAAUAAGAAUAAAGAAUUCCUUAAAUUUAUAUAGCUGAGGAUCAAAGAUAACUUUGCUCUAUCCGUAAAUUUGCAAUACCCUUGUUCGUACUAAACGAGUUUUACUGAUUCAGAAAUUACAUAUUUGCCCACCAAGCUAUUCAUUCAAUGUCAAGCAGAUUUUAACCGCAGGAUACAGUAAAUGACUUGGUACUAGGUAAAAUUAAUGUGUAUCAAAGAAAGUUUCCAUAACCUUUUCUGUGGUUAUUUUCAUGAAAGGCAAUUAACUUACUUCUGGUUUUUUUAUUUCUGUAUAUAUAUUGAAUUAUGUUUUGUGUAGAACAAUUUACUGUUGUAGUAUUUUGUGAAUUUUAUGUUUGUUUGAAAUGUAGACUUAUUCAUUCAGGUUUAUUUAAAGAGAUGAACAUUAUUAAUGAUAUUGU
Molecule: long non-coding RNA, 926 nt
Organism: Saccostrea cuccullata (small rock oyster)
Lineage: Eukaryota; Metazoa; Mollusca; Bivalvia; Ostreida; Ostreidae
Exons: 3
Source: RefSeq, a predicted model, not a curated record